Molecule: long non-coding RNA, 2217 nt
Organism: Homo sapiens (human)
Lineage: Eukaryota; Metazoa; Chordata; Mammalia; Primates; Hominidae
Gene: ANAPC1P2
Product: ANAPC1 pseudogene 2
Source: Ensembl
AGUCGGCGGCACUUGGUGCCGCCCGGGAGAACCAGGUCAUCGGUCGGUUCCCGUGAAAACAAAAACAAUCGGCCGCGCCGUCGCAGGCACCCGAACGUCGCGAGCGGGGCCUGGGGACGCGGGGCCGAGUGCAGCGAGCGAACGGGAGCAGCGGCGACUCGCCAGGGGGCUAGGGCGCCAUGGGGCAGGCGGGCUCCGGCUGCGCGGGGCUCCCCCGGCGCCGCGGCUAGUGCGCCCGCCGCCUCGGCCGCCUCAGCCUCCCGCGCCGCCCGCUUGGGGAACGAGGAGCAGGACGCGGCCUCGGCGGGGCCCGGGCCGAACGGCUGCGGACACCUGGGCGCCGAGGAGCCGAGCGCCGCCGCCUCCGGCAUGGAUCAGUGCGUGACGGUGGAGCGCGAGCUGGAGAAGGUGCUGCACAAGUUCUCGGGCUACGGGCAGCUGUGCGAGCGCGGCCUGGAGGAGCUCAUCGACUACACCGGCGGUCUCAAGCACGAGAUCCUGCAGAGCCACGGCCAAGAUGCUGAAUUAUCAGGGACACUUUGACUUGUUUUGACACAGUGCUGUAAAAGAAUAAAGGAUACUGUUCAAAAAUUGGCCUCCGACCACAAAGACAUCCACAGCAGUGUUUCUCGGGUUGGAAAAGCCAUUGAUAAGGAUUCACUUUAAGAGAUUUGGAAACUCUUCCCUUUGGAAUUGCUCUUCCCAUCAGAGAUGCAAUUUAUCACUGUCGUGAACAGCCUGCCUCAGACUGGCCAGAAGCUGUCUGUCUCUUGAUUGGACGUCAGGAUCUUUCCAAGCAGGCCUGCGAAGGAAACUUACCCAAAGGGAAGUCUGUGCUCUCAUCAGAUGUUCCUUCAGGAACAGAAACUGAGGAGGAAGAUGACGGCAUGAAUGACAUGAAUCACGAGGUCAUGUCAUUAAUAUGGAGUGAAGAUUUAAGGGUGCAGGAUGUGCGAAGGCUUCUUCAGAGUGCGCAUCCUGUCCGUGUCAAUGUAGUGCAGUACCCAGAGCUCAGUGACCACGAGUUCAUCGAGGAAAAGGAAAACAGAUUGCUCCAAUUGUGUCAGCGAACUAUGGCUCUUCCUGUAGGACGAGGAAUGUUUACCUUGUUUUCGUACCAUCCUGUUCCAACAGAGCCAUUGCCUAUUCCUAAAUUGAAUCUGACUGGGCGUGCCCCUCCUCGGAACACAACAGUAGACCUUAAUAGUGGAAACAUCGAUGUGCCUCCCAACAUGACAAGCUGGGCCAGCUUUCAUAAUGGUGUGGCUGCUGGCCUGAAGAUAGCUCCUGCCUCCCAGAUCGACUCAGCUUGGAUUGUUUACAAUAAGCCCAAGCAUGCUGAGUUGGCCAAUGAGUAUGCUGGCUUUCUCAUGGCUCUGGGUUUGAAUGGGCACCUUACCAAGCUGGCGACUCUCAAUAUCCAUGACUACUUGACCAAGGGCCAUGAAAUGACAAGCAUUGGACUGCUACUUGGUGUUUCUGCUGCAAAACUAGGCACCAUGGAUAUGUCUAUUACUCGGCUUCUUAGCAUUCGCAUUCCUGCUCUCUUACCCCCAACGUCCACAGAGCUGGAUGUUCCUCACAAUGUCCAAGUGGCUGCAGUGGUUGGCAUUGGCCUUGUAUAUCAAGGGACAGCUCACAGACAUACUGCAGAAGUCCUGUUGGCUGAGAUAGGACGGCCUCCUGGUCCUGAAAUGGAAUACUGCACUGACAGAAAGUCAUACUCCUUAGCUGCUGGCUUGGCCCUGGGCAUGGUCUGCUUGGGGCACGGCAGCAAUUUGAUAGGUAUGUCUGAUCUCAAUGUGCCUGAGCAGCUCUAUCAGUACAUGGUUGGAGGACAUAGGCGCUUUCAAACAGGAAUGCAUAGGGAGAAACAUAAAUCACCAAGUUAUCAAAUCAAAGAAGGAGAUACCAUAAAUGUGGAUGUGACUUGUCCAGGUGCUACUCUAGCUUUGGCUAUGAUCUACUUAAAAACCAAUAACAGUGUCUUCUAGGAAGCCCAGACACAUGGAGAAGUUCUGAGUGUUUUGGCCGAUAGUCCCAGAUGAGGUUCCAGCAACAGCUGGGAUCACCCAUGAGAUGUGAGUGAGGAAGGCUUUGAGAUGGUUUCAGCCCUAGCCACCACUGACCUCAUAAGAGACCACAAGAAUGAGAAUCACCUGGCCAAGCCCAGCAGACCUUCAGAAUUCAGAAAUAAAAUAAUUCAUCUUAUUUUAA